GCCCGAGUAGCUCAGGGAGAAGAGCACCCGCCUUGUAAGCGGUAGGCCACUGGUUCGAAUCCAGUCGCGGGCACCA
RNAcentral lists this transfer RNA (76 nucleotides) under EBPR siphovirus 2. RNAcentral describes it as "tRNA-Thr". It matches the Rfam family "tRNA". Rfam says of the family: Transfer RNA (tRNA) molecules are approximately 80 nucleotides in length. Their secondary structure includes four short double-helical elements and three loops (D, anti-codon, and T loops). The record is from RNAcentral. Lineage: Duplodnaviria; Heunggongvirae; Uroviricota; Caudoviricetes.